GACGAACGCUGGCGGCGUGCUUAACACAUGCAAGUCGAACGGUGAAGCGCCUUCCUUUUUGGUGGGUGUGGAUGAGUGGCGAACGGGUGAGUAACACGUGAGUAACCUGCCCCCUUCUUUUGGAUAACCGCAUGAAAGUGUGGCUAAUACGGGAUAUUCUGGGUCUGUCGCAUGAUGGGUCUGGGAAAGAUAUUGUUUCGGUGGGGGAUGGGCUCGCGGCCUAUCAGCUUGUUGGUGGGGUGAUGGCCUACCAAGGCGGUGACGGGUAGCCGGCCUGAGAGGGUGGACGGUCACAAUGGGACUGAGACACGGCCCAGACUCCUACGGGAGGCAGCAGUGGGGAAUAUUGCACAAUGGGCGCAAGCCUGAUGCAGCGACGCCGCGUGAGGGAUGGAGGCCUUCGGGUUGUGAACCUCUUUCGCCAGUGAAGCAGGCCUGCCUCGUUUGUGGGUGGGUUGACGGUAGCUGGAUAAGAAGCGCCGGCUAACUACGUG
This 494-nucleotide ribosomal RNA is filed under the name uncultured bacterium. RNAcentral describes it as "partial 16S ribosomal RNA". It matches the Rfam family "Bacterial small subunit ribosomal RNA", at positions 28 to 507 of the family's 1533-position model. The record is from RNAcentral.